This 545-nucleotide ribosomal RNA is filed under the name Necturus punctatus (dwarf waterdog). RNAcentral's name for it is "partial 16S ribosomal RNA". It matches the Rfam family "Bacterial large subunit ribosomal RNA", at positions 1817 to 2597 of the family's 2925-position model. The record is from RNAcentral. Lineage: Eukaryota; Metazoa; Chordata; Amphibia; Caudata; Proteidae.
CGCCUCUUGCAUAAUAAGUAUAAGAGGUACUGCCUGCCCAGUGACAUUGUUUAACGGCCGCGGUAUUAUGACCGUGCAAAGGUAGCGUAAUCACUUGUCUUUUAAAUAAAGACCAGUAUGAAUGGCAAAACGAGGGCUCAGCUGUCUCUUUAAAUUAAUCAGUGAAAUUGAUCUUCCCGUGCAGAAGCGAGAAUAAACAUAUAAGACGAGAAGACCCUGUGGAGCUUCAAACUAAAAUUAAUCACAUACUAUAUUACCCAAAAGGAAAAAAAUUAAAUAAUGAAAAUAAUCUAUGUUUUUGGUUGGGGCGACCACGGAAGAAAACAAAUCUUCCGAGAAAAAAAAUUAAGAGAUACUUCUCUAAUAAUAAAAUAUUUAAUAAUGAUCCAAUAUUUGAUCAACGAACCAAGUUACCCCAGGGAUAACAGCGCAAUCCUUUCCUAGAGUUCAUAUCGACGAAUGGGUUUACGACCUCGAUGUUGGAUCAGGACACCCUAAUGAUGCAGCCGUUAUUAAAGGUUCGUUUGUUCAACGAUUAAAGUCCU